AGAGGAGCCCGGAGCCCACAGUGGCACGUGGCUGUGCAGGCUAGGCGCAUGCUCCGCUCAACCGCUGAGAGCAGGCACACAGCAGCCCCUGGAGAAGGCAGUCCUCAGAGCCCUGCCUGCGCUGUGGUUAUGGGAGCUGGGGUUUUCUGCUCCUUUCAGAUCAGCUCAGGAUUUCCUGGUCUCCAGUCCUGCCUGCGUUGACCUUUGUCUCCAAGAGCAGACACAUUCCUGGGCCCUGACCUCACAACGGAGGAGCCCACAUCCCACAAGGUUUAGCUCUGGAACCUGGUUUGGAAUUCCAGAGCUCAGCAGGACUGAUGAAAGGACAUUGCCUCCCCACGGGUCAACUUAGGACUCUCCCAGCAAAAGGGAAGAAAGAAAAAGGAAGCUUACUUUGGUCACUGCAGUAUUUCCAGGCUGUUGAUUUGGAUGGCACCUUGCGAAUACACAGCAGCAGCCUCUGGAUAGCAGACCCACCUCCCCAGAAAGACAUUUUCUUGAAUGCUUCACAAGGACUUCAACAUUAGAACAAUUUCCUUGGCAACUUUAAACGGUCAUUCAUUUUUAUUUUUGGUUAAUGUUUAGUAAUUACACACAUUUAUGGGGCAUAUUAUGAUAUUUCAAUACAUGUAAACAGUAUGCUCAGGUCAAAUCAGGGGAAGGAGUUCUCCCCUCCCCUUAUCAUUUCUUUGUGUGCGAGGUCUUUCAUCUCCCCUCUUCUAGUUCUUCCUUAAACACAGAACAGGAUAUUGUGAACUAGCACUUUUUAAAUUAUUCCAACUGCCCACCGCACUGAACUAUUGGCUUUUUCUCCGGAUUGUCUCAGCCCAUGGUCUCCCAAUGCACCUGUUUUCCCUAGCUGGACAUGCUAGUCUGUUGACUCCUGCCUCUCAUUCAUCCUGCCCUUUAACUGUUGGGCAGGAACUGUUUGUCAGGUCUGGCCUUACUCUCCAUUCCCGCUCUUAGCACAUCUGCACAAUGCUUCAUCACUUCCUAUCUGAAUUACCUUUUCUUUGUGCCACUGUUAAAAUUACCUCCCAAAAAGGCAAAAUGAUCAAAGUCUCCUAUUUUCUCCAGAUUGCUGUAUUACGACGAAGUUCUAAUUAACUAAAAAAACCUUGAAAAGGUGGCUUGUCCUUAUCCUUCAAACUCAUUUCCUGUUCUUCCUGAGUGCAUUUAAUCCUGAGUACUGUCUCCCACCCUAGACCUUUCUGUCUCGGAUUCUUCACUGGCUAAGGUCCAUUAGUAAGAAGGGUGUCUUCAGAUAAGGACUUAAAGAUUUAAGAUCAUUGCUUGGAAAGGACAUUCUACCUUCAUCUUUCUCCUGGUAUUUCAGGUCUCAUUUUUUAGUAGAAGGACCUGGAACAUUUUUACUUGAUAUGGUUUUCUAAUAGCCUGCCCUGACCAUACACCCAUCUGUCCUCCAUCUCUUCUUCCAUCCCCACCUGUCAUGCAUUCUAUAUCACUGAAUGCUAAGUGGUGAAAUUUAAAUGUACAAAAUAUGAAAUUUGAUACUACACCAAAAUCUAUAAAAUGAUGCCCAAAAUGUUUUGAAUAUAAUAUUUACUUAAAUUUACCUUUUGGAAGAUUUUUUUUUUUGCUCCACUCUGUUUAGUAUCUGGGGCAGGUGGCUAUUCUGGCUCUCAGAGCUGGUAGACUCAGGACCUGCAUGUUCACGGUUAACAAUUUGCAGCCACAGGCAUUUGUGCUCCCUGGUGGUGCUGUGCAUCACCAUGAGCCCCGACCUCAUAAGGAUGCCUCAGAGCUCCAUGUAUGUGCCGAGUGGGGAGACACCAGAGGGUCACUGCUAAGAGCCACAGCCAAGUAAUAUGAUGCAUGGCAUUUUUGGUUGAAAGGUGAUGCCAGCAAGCCAUUGAGAUGAUAUGAUUAUGUUAAGAUCUGCAUUCAUAUGGGUAUUGGACUCCUGCUGUUCACCCCGCCUGCUACGGGACUCCUGGAGAGUUGCCAUUGGUUGGGGAAGUGCGGUAGGAGGGAAUUCCUGUUGGGGUCUGGGAGAAUGCUGAGUGGGUCGGUUGGCAAUCAUCCGGGGAGUGUACAGGGCAUUGGCGGCAGUUUCAAAAAUAAAGUUUGUUCCUGCUUGAGUGGCUCAUGAUUUUGUGCCCAGCCAGACUGUGGCAGGUCACGUUGUAGAGUUUAAUUUAGUGAGGACAAGUAAAUUAAGCUCUGUGAUUAAAACAAAUCUAUAAAGGGGAAGGAAGUUUACUUAUUUUGCAUCAUCAUGUAUUGAAAUAUGUCAGACAUCCUACCCUGAUUGUUUACUUCUCUAAAGCUCUACAUCUGUACAUCUAAAGAGGGAGAGGGAAAACUGACUUGUAAACCUCUAAUAAGGGCCUCUCUCUCUCUCUCUCUCUAUCUCUCUAUCUAUCCCACAGUGUCUAGUCAGCAAAACUGGGAGCACUAGUUUUGAAAAUAAAAUGUAAUACUAAUUGUGUUCUCAUAUAUCCUGUUUUACAUUGUACCAAUUUUUUGAAGUUUUUUUUUUUUUUAAAUAAAG
This 2515-nucleotide long non-coding RNA is filed under the name Ictidomys tridecemlineatus (thirteen-lined ground squirrel). RNAcentral's name for it is "lncRNA (ENSSTOG00000031789.1)". The record is from RNAcentral. Lineage: Eukaryota; Metazoa; Chordata; Mammalia; Rodentia; Sciuridae.